Molecule: long non-coding RNA, 372 nt
Filed under: Mytilus galloprovincialis (Mediterranean mussel)
Lineage: Eukaryota; Metazoa; Mollusca; Bivalvia; Mytilida; Mytilidae
Source: RNAcentral
UUAAGGCCAUUAUAUUUUCAUCUGUUAUAUCAUUUCAUAGUACAUUUGUACUAAGCACUUUGUGUCCAACAUUAUGCAUUUCAACAAUAUGCUAUAAAAUAUGAAAAAAUUCAAACAACUGGUACUAGUGUUGUUAAAUACCCUGUGAAAGUUUUGGUUAACCUCCAAUUAAGAUCAAUAUUAAAUUUUCCUGAUCUAUUAAAGACAUACUAAUACUACUACAGUAUGGAGUAUAAACAUCCAUUUUUUCAAUCUCAUUUUUCUCCUCCUCUGUAUCAUUCUAGCAAUCAUUAACGUAUGUCCAUAACACAAGCACUGCGUGAAUGUAAUAUUUCCCAGAGUCUUCACUUCCUGAGCGUAGGAGGAACUUUU